Non-coding RNA from Vicugna pacos (alpaca), 455 nucleotides. Lineage: Eukaryota; Metazoa; Chordata; Mammalia; Artiodactyla; Camelidae. The record is from RefSeq and is a predicted model, not a curated record.
UGAUCCUCAGACUCCAGAACCCCCUAGCUAGAGACUUUCUCCACCACAGAGGUGGGGGUGGGUAAAUCUUUAACUAGCUAGCCCUGGGCAGGCCCCAGACUUUCCGGAUGGAUGGCUGCCUGGGAAGAGGGGGAAGAGGGUGGGAGAUGUUAAGGUGUGUAUAGCCAGUCCCAGUGUGGUGGAGAAGGGAGGGUACUGGGGAGGGAAAAGAACGAGACUCGGGCGGAGCUAACUCCGUGUGCAAAGCAGGACAUGGAGGAACGCGGGUCCCCCGACGGGGACCCCGCGCGGAAUCUGGAGCAGGGGCCAGAAGGGCCAGAGAAGCCGGAAACGCCCAUCCAGGUGGUGCUCAGGGUGCGUCCCAUGAGUGCGGCUGAGCUGCGUCGAGGGGAGCAGAGCGCGCUGCACUGCUCAGGGACUCGGACUCUGCAGGUGAGCCCCCCCGGCGGGGGCCC